GUCAAGUAAGAAUACCCGCUGAACUUAAGCAUAUCAAUAAGCGGAGGAAAAGAAACUAACUAGGAUUCCCUUAGUAACGGCGAGUGAACUGGGAAAAGCUCAAAUUUUAAAUCACCCCGGUGAAUUGUAAUUUGAAGAAAGUGAUUUGACUUUUCAGUUUAAUCUAAAUCCUUUGGGAUGAGGUAUCAUAGAGGGUGAGAAUCCCGUUCUUGAUUAAACCUCGGAUUGCACUAAUUCACUUUCUAAGAGUCGAGUUGUUUGGGAUUGCAGCUCCAAAUGGGUGGUAAAUUUCACCUAAGGCUAAAUAUAUGCAAGAGACCGAUAGCGAACAAGUACCGUGAGGGAAAGAUGAAAAGAACUUUGAAAAGAGAGUUAAAUAGUACGUGAAAUUGUUGAAAGGGAAUCGAUUGAAGUCAGUCAUGCUAAUGAGGAAUCAACUUGGUGGUUUACUUCCUUGUGCAUUUUCUCGCUUGGCAGGUUAGCAUCAAUUUUGGUUGUCAUCAAAGAAUUAGGGGAAUGUGGCUUUUCUUCGGUAAAGUGUUAUAGACUCUGAUUGAUGUGGCGACUGGGAUUGAGGUUUGCAGCGAAUGCCUUUUUGGGCUAGUCACCUGUCUUCUGACCGUCACCUCGCUUUUGACAGCUUGCUGAUGAUCGCGGGAUUUGGCGACCUAGGAGUUAGAGUGAACAUAAAUUCGCUAAGGAAGCUGACGUAAUGGCUUUAAACGACCCGUCUUGAAACACGGACCAAGGAGUCUAACAUAUGUGCGAGUGUU
RNAcentral lists this ribosomal RNA (773 nucleotides) under uncultured Acaulosporaceae. RNAcentral's name for it is "eukaryotic LSU rRNA". It matches the Rfam family "Eukaryotic large subunit ribosomal RNA", at positions 11 to 694 of the family's 3401-position model. The record is from RNAcentral. Lineage: Eukaryota; Fungi; Glomeromycota; Glomeromycetes; Diversisporales; Acaulosporaceae.